GGGACUUUGCACGGGCUUAUCUCUUGUACCAUUUGUGUUCAUAAAAGUUAUUUUAACUUUUCAGGUUGAUUGCCCCCUGGGGUCAGGGAGGAAUACAAAGACAAAGACGCAUGUUACCAAGAGGCUACAAAGAGGCCAUCAAGAGAACCGCCACCAGGGGAGAAACCAAUUCCAUCAUUUCUGCCCUUCCGCCUGCUGGUGAUUUCCCAAAACCAACCCUUACAGUCAACAGGAAGCAAGCACAAGGCCCAUCCUGG
RNAcentral lists this long non-coding RNA (257 nucleotides) under Cricetulus griseus (Chinese hamster). RNAcentral's name for it is "lncRNA (ENSCGRG00000025989.1)". The record is from RNAcentral. Lineage: Eukaryota; Metazoa; Chordata; Mammalia; Rodentia; Cricetidae.